This 502-nucleotide ribosomal RNA is filed under the name uncultured bacterium. Its description in RNAcentral is "bacterial SSU rRNA". It matches the Rfam family "Bacterial small subunit ribosomal RNA", at positions 26 to 518 of the family's 1533-position model. The record is from RNAcentral.
AGGAUGAACGCUAGCUACAGGCUUAACACAUGCAAGUCGAGGGGCAGCAUGAAGUUGCUGCAAACUUUGAUGGCGACCGGCGCACGGGUGAGUAACGCGUAUCCAACCUUCCCUAUACUAGAGGAUAGCCCGGCGAAAGUCGGAUUAAUACUCUAUGUUCUUCGUAGAAGACAUCUGAAAUGAAGCAAAGGUUUACCGGUAUAGGAUGGGGAUGCGUCUGAUUAGGUUGUUGGCGGGGUAACGGCCCACCAAGCCCACGAUCAGUAGGGGUUCUGAGAGGAAGGUCCCCCACAUUGGAACUGAGACACGGUCCAAACUCCUACGGGAGGCAGCAGUGAGGAAUAUUGGUCAAUGGACGAGAGUCUGAACCAGCCAAGUAAGCGUGCAGGAUGACGGCCCUAUGGGUUGUAAACUGCUUUUAUACAGGGAUAAAGUGACGUACGUGUACGUUUUUGUAGGUACUGUAUGAAUAAGGACCGGCUAAUUCCGUGCCAGCCGCGGC